GACGAACGCUGGCGGCGUGCUUAACACAUGCAAGUCGAACGGAAAGGCCCUGCUUUUGUGGGGUGCUCGAGUGGCGAACGGGUGAGUAACACGUGAGUAACCUGCCCUUGACUUUGGGAUAACUUCAGGAAACUGGGGCUAAUACCGGAUAGGAGCUCCUGCUGCAUGGUGGUGGUUGGAAAGUUUCGGCGGUUGGGGAUGGACUCGCGGCUUAUCAGCUUGUUGGUGGGGUAGUGGCUUACCAAGGCUUUGACGGGUAGCCGGCCUGAGAGGGUGACCGGCCACAUUGGGACUGAGAUACGGCCCAGACUCCUACGGGAGGCAGCAGUGGGGAAUAUUGCACAAUGGGCGGAAGCCUGAUGCAGAAACGCCGCGUGCGGGGUGACGGCCUUCGGGGUGUAAACCGCUUUCGCCUGUGACGAAGCGUGAGUGACGGUAAUGGGUAAAGAAGCACCGGCUAACUACGUG
RNAcentral lists this ribosomal RNA (468 nucleotides) under uncultured bacterium. RNAcentral describes it as "partial 16S ribosomal RNA". It matches the Rfam family "Bacterial small subunit ribosomal RNA", at positions 28 to 507 of the family's 1533-position model. The record is from RNAcentral.